GAGUUAUCAAGUAACUCUAUGAGAAUACGGUAACGUUAUAAAUAACAUGUAAAGUAUACAGUAAAAUAGCGUUACCGUAUUCUCCUAGGGUUACUUGAUAACUCUCUAUUGUCUGGUGAUUUUUAGUUUUUUGACCUGGCAACCUUGUCCUAUCCUAACUGAACAAAACAAAGUCGGGAACAAUGGAUUAAUGGAUAUUAUGUAAAAGCCAUAAGAAGAACAGAACUAAUAUUAAAAUAUGAAAGAAUAUGCAAUAAACAUUGUAUAAAAGUGGAAAGCCAGCCACUUUAAAAAGAUAUUCCAAACUAAAACAUGGGUUACCAAAGCAGGCAAUAAAAAGAAAAGGUGAUCUAGAAUGCAAGAGAAGAGCUGAUGAAAGAAGUAAAUGUAAAGAAAAUAAUGAAGAGACUUCUCUGGACCAUGAACAAACACCAGCUAUUUUAUAUAUGUAGAAAAAGGAAAAACUGCUGGAACUUUAAUUUAAAGGCUUUUGACUAGUGAAGAUUUGGAUAAACAACAGGAGUUACUUUGGGCUAUAGCUACGUGCAAAUUUAUUUUCUUGUGGCUUCCUAUGUUUAUUCUUAUUAACUAUAUCUACACUUUGAUAUGUUUUUAGUCGCAUGAAGAUUUUAUAGUUUAUUAUUUUAUGUAUAUUGUUAUAUUUGUGUUGAAUAAACAUUAUUAUUAUUAUUA
Molecule: long non-coding RNA, 693 nt
Organism: Diabrotica virgifera virgifera (western corn rootworm)
Lineage: Eukaryota; Metazoa; Arthropoda; Insecta; Coleoptera; Chrysomelidae
Exons: 3
Source: RefSeq, a predicted model, not a curated record